GAAAAGGUCCAUGUGGUUCAAUUAUUAAAUGGCAACUUUACAUACAGAAGUUAUUAACUGGCAACCUUUCAUGCAAUUGUGAUGGACAAGUGAAUAUGAAUUUGAGAUGUCAACCAAUCAUUGUAUUCUUUCAUGUUUAUAUUGCUUCAAAUUCAAGAAACAAACUUAUUCGAAUUAAGUUUUGUAUUGCUACGUAAUUAUGAAUGAUUUCUAGAAAAUUGCAGUAUAUGAUAUAUGGCAGAAAAUUGCAGUCCUUAUUUGGUACGUGUAUUCACGAUAAUAAUUUUGGUUUGAAAAAAUCAUUUUUCUUCCGGUUAAUUGGCAAGUGGUACAUGCUCAAAUAACUAUAUUGGAAGAUAUGUGGAGAUUGCAAUAUUAUUAUUAUGAAAAGGCAUGUUGGGUGUUAACUUAUAUGGUUAAAUGGUUGAAGUUUUUGAAAUGAUAUUGCACAUGUUACAUAUAGGAAAAUUCUAAAGUGUUAGAAUUUUGUGAAAGGAGUUAUGUGAACUUUGAUAAUCAUUUCUUCUAUAGAAAUUGAAAAAUUAUAUGUGAUUGGUUGGAAUUUAUACUAACUUUGGUUUAUGGUGAUAGCCUCAAUUAAUUAUAUGCAAUUAAACGAGAUGAUCUUAUGCAAAAACGUGUUUACAUAGAAAUGUGAUUUUGAUAAACUACGAAUAAUGUGAACAUGUAUCUUACUAUUUGAUGUAACAUGAUGAUAUCUUGUGAAAGUGAUAAAUUGCAAACAAUUGGAGAUUAAUAUCCUUAGUCUCAUUCGUUGUUGAAUUGGACUUUAAUCAUGGAACCAACUGAGUUGGUUUGUGCUUGAAAAACAUUAAUAGUUUAUGAGAUGACCUUGAUAAAAUGUGUGAUCAAAAUCAAAGAUAGUUGGAUUGAAGGUCAUUGUGACUUAACAAACACUAUCUAAAAAGUACCUAAACUUUCACGGGUAUGUUCUAAGUGAUAAGCAAAUUGAACUAUAAAAGAGUUAAUAAACUCUAAGUUCAAGUAUAAUCCCAAAUAUGGGGGUUAUCAAUAACGCUUGUGAACUUACAUGAGAAGUUCCAGAUGUAAUAUUACAAUAUUACAUAAGAAUUCCUAAUUAAGGAAUUGUGAGGGUAACUUAAUAUAAAAGUAAAGAGUCCCUAAACCUUUUAAUCUUAGAAAUAUAUUUAUGAAGGAGACAAGGUGGAAAACUCUUAUAUAUAAUUAUAAGGAUGGACACACUAAAUCUAAGGUGAAUAAAUUGGGUGAAAACCAAUCAUGGCACUUACUAAACCAAUUGGAAUAUUUAAAUAAAUUUCACAAACUGAAUACCCAUUUGCGAAAUCCACAAAAUUUGAAAUGAGUGACUAGUGUAUUGACUGAUAAAAUUCUUCCAACUGUAUUUGGAAAUCUAUAAGCUUUGAAUAAAGCUAAGUGAAAGAAUUCUUGGUGGUGACACGUUGUAUAUAACAAAUGAAUUAUUGGCUAGCUAUGUUUGAUAAGAUACUAAGUCAUAUAUAAUGGAAGUCUAAACAUAUAAGUCUUAGAAGUAACUUAAUAGGGAAAUUAUCAAAGAUAGAAUAAUUUCCAUAAAGACAUAGCGGAUACUUUAAACCACUAAAUAGAGUUUUAGUGGCAUCUACUUCGAGUUGGAUAGGGUUGAAACUCCUAAACUAUAAAGGUUCAUCAAUGACAGCAACCCUACCUGUCAUUACUCAAAAGGUAAAUUACGGGUUCAAAGGGUAACAAUAAGUCAUUUGAUAUGUGGAUAGUUGCAGCAUUAUUAAAAUUCGCAAUAAUCUUAUCCUAAUUUAAAUAAUGCUGGUUAUUACUGAAAUGAGGGAUGAGUUUUAAGCUCUUAAUGAAGUUCAGUGCUAAAACACAAGUAUCUCUAAAAGUAAUAAAGGUACUGGAAGAACUUCACCUAAACAAAUUUCGAGGUGGUGUCGCCUCAAUAAAGAGUUGGAGUUUCUCUCUUAAAAGUUUGUUGAAAAAGAUGAACGCAAGGCCAUAUUAGCACUAAGCGAGUUAUGAGGAACUUGAGAACACGUAAUACUCGUGUGUGUAUUUUUACCAGUAUUGUCACAUGGAACAAUUGGUUCAAAGCUUCAUGCUACCUUUGAUUCCGACUUUAUUUUGUUUGAAUUUCACUAUGGUUAUAUUCAAAUCGAAAGAUAUCUAUCCUUACGCAUGAGUAUUGUAUAAUUUGAUUAUGAGAGUUUAUUAAAAUUUUGAACAAGUGAGAGAUUGUUGAAAAAUGUUGUUCAAAAUCAAUAAACAUGUGUGUGGAAUGAAAGAGAAAUGAAAUGGAAUGAAAAAAACCCGAAACGAUGGCUCAUUGUGUGUGCUAUGUGACCGUAUGGCAGAUUGGCCAUGUGGUCGCAUAGCCUAAGGCAAGAAAUCUGGGGUCGUGAUGCUGUUGAACCAUGCGACCGUAUGGUGUUGUACCAUGCGGUCGCAUGGUACUUAGAAAAUGGCCGUUGGAGGCCUUUAAGAUUUAAAUUUUUUGGCGAUUUUUUCACAACUCUUCAAUAUUUUGGCACCAUUUCAUGGGAUAUUAAUCCAAAUCUAUAAAUAGGUGAUGGAGGGAUUAAUACAAACAUUGAAAAUCAUAUUACAAACAUAUGAGAAACAUUAUUUUCAUUCCACAAAAAGGACCAAACAUCAUUUCUUCCAUAUUCAAUUCUUCCCUCUUGUGUUCUUCAAGUUCGGGUAGAAAAUUAUUUAUGCUUUUGUGAUUUUCUACAACAAGGCUUGAUAAAUCCUUCAAAUCGUUUACCGCGAGACCCUUUAAGCACCAAAAUUGUUACUGAGAGAGGACAAAUAUCGAUUGAGGACAACGAUGUAAUGUCGUGUUUGAGCUUUUCAUUUUCGAUUUGUUCCUCACGUUUAUUUCAUCUUCUUGAAAUCACUUCUAUAUUGUUUCUUCUCCAAAUUCGGUGGUGAUAACUACCCAACACCCUCAUCCAAGAUAAGACCACCUCGGAACUUGAUUUUUUCUUUUUUUCCAUCUUAAGUCUCGAGGUGGCCUCGGAGAGGAUGGGCCACCCGAUGACAUUAUAACUCUCCAUUCGACGUACGGUCGCCACCUAAAUUUUUCUCCUUUUAGCGGGUUAACACUAGCAUUUCAAUGGCCAAUAGAUUUUAAAGUUAGGCUCAUUGCUGAGCUCAUGUUUGGUUUUGAUUAAAAUUCGAUUUUAAUUUAAGUCAAAGUCAAAAAUCAAUAUUAACCACGUCUUUUAUGGAUUCCACAACUUUUUAACCAUACAAUUCAAUAACUUCUAUCACAAUUUAUUAAAAAAAUCUAAUUUUAAUCCACCACCAAACUUCUUCAUAAAACUCUUUAUAAACCCUUUGUAGUGCCAUUUGCGUCAAUUUCCCCCAACUCAAGGGCCUUUCGAAGUGGCCCAUAUAUUUAAAAAUCAGGCAUUCAAUCCCUCCGCCAAAACCUCCCCCCCCCCCCCCCCAAAACAUCAAAGGUUUGGUUUGGAGUCAGAAAAUAGGAAAAAUGGCAUGCAACUCAGCAACCAGGGCGUCCUUUUUAGAAUAGCCAAGUCAAACCACCAAAUUUUCACAUUGACCAACUUUUUUUUGUCAUUCACCAAAAGGGUUUUUUGAAGAGUAAAUGUCAUUUUUGCCCUUAUUUUGUGUUAUAAUUACAAAAAUAUAUCAUUUGCUCAAAAGACAAUAAUACCCUCUUUAAAAAAAUUAAUAAAUCCAAACAAUCUUACUUAAAUAUCAAAACGAAAUCACUUUCCUUAUCAGAUUUUUCAACACAUUUAAAAAGAAAUUUCCUCUUCCAUCUGCUUGAACAUUGAAAUCUCAAAAAAUUAUCAAAAGCUCAACAAAAAAAUAUUACUCACAGUCGGUACUUUAAAUUGGUAAGUAUAAAUACGUAUGUUUAAUUUUAUUUUAGUUAAAUUUGUACAUUGUUUGAAUAUUUAAAUUUUAUUUCAACAUAUAAUUUUAGAAAAAUGAAAUAUUACAGUUUUAAAUGGAUGUAUAAUUUUUUUUUAGCAAAAAUGAGGAAAAAAAUUCAUCUGUUCAGAUGUAAAAUAUAAAAGACAGCCAGCCAAAAAUGUGUCCGGGCUGGAUGUUUUACAGCCUGCCUGGAUCCGGGCCGGAUGUUACAUGUCCUUUUUCUUUUUAUUAUUUUUUAUUUUUUGUCCUUGUGUCAUAUUUAUUUUCGUCAUUUUAUUCUCGUAAUUACAAUUUUUUAAUAAAUGAUGUUUCCUAAUGCAGAUAUGGGAUCAACUGCUGUCUCCAUUUGUUACUUUGGUGAAUUUGAAAAUAAUGACAAUGGUCAAUGGGUGUGGAAAUGGACGAGUGAAAGACAUGGUUGUACUGCAAUUAUAAUAACAUCCAUUACAUCAUAUGUAGAAAUGUACAAUGAGAUACAGAACUUGUUGAAAGUCGAUCCCUCUUAGUACGCCAUGGAAUUGGGAUUUCUAAUGGGCGAGAAUACAUUCAUUUCAAUUUCACCUAUAACGGUUACUUCUGAAAUUGAAAUGAAGGUUUAAUUGAAAUGAACCAGAAACGUGCGAUUCCUAUUUGCGUAACUUUGAUAAAGAAAAAUGUCCCUGAGAGUGAACAGGAAGAUUUUGAUGGAGGGGAUCGUAAUGUGAAUGAGUUUUGAGACACAGUGGAAAUAGUGCGUGAUGAUGCUGUAGCUGUUCUAGAGACAGUUGCUCAUCACCAUGAUCUCACUGUUACACACAGAAUUUGCUCAAUAGUUCGAGACAAUGAAAGAGAUAAUGACUUUACAAAUGAGAAUUUGAUUGUCUUAUCCCGUUUGAAACAUGCGUCAACUGGGAGCUCACAGGCUGGACCGAGUACACGGUCCUCUAAUUGUUCGCGUAUAGUCCCCGAUGAUGAUGAUUUGUAUGUCGAGCAACUGUUUGGCACGAAGAAAGAUUUGCAAGAAGCUGUUCACCAGAUUGCUUUGAAACACAAUUUUGAGUUUAAAGUGAAGAAAUCAAACAAGUCAACUUACACAAUUGUCUGCAUUGACGACAGUUGCCUUUGGCGUUUGUGAGCAACGAAAAUGGACACAAAUGAGUUCUUUGUGGUUCGUAAAUAUGCACGAGACAUACUUGCGAAGUGAGUAUUCGUUGAAACGAUCACAGGCAAGCCCGAUCAUGGUUCAUUGGUCGAGAAGUAAUGUACAAGUUUCAGGACCCACGAACAAUCUACAGACUUUUGGACAUUAUUAAUGAUGUUCGUCGAGAGUACGGGGUGGUCAUAAGCUGUCAGAAGGCUUGGAAGGCCAAAGAAUGCACAUUGGAGGACUUGAUGGGUUCGAAUGAGAAGAGUUAUACUAAAUUGGCCAGUUAUUAAUUUCAAUUGUUUAUUUAAUUAUUUAUUGAUUCUUUAUCUAAUGUGUAAUUAAUUAUUUAAUUCAAUUGUUUAUUUUUCAAUUUUUUAAUAUUGUUUAUUUAAUUAUUUAAAUUAUGAUUAUUGUUUAUUUAAUUGGUCAGGUUUUGCUAUAACAUGUGAAGAAUUAAUACUGAAUUGACAUUUUUUAUUGAGAAUGAUGACGAGAAUUACUUCAAGUAUUUCUUAUGGCCCUUGGACAAUGCGUUCGAGGAUUUUGAAACGCAAUGCGACCCUUAAUUCUAGUCGACGGUACAACCCUCAAGGCGAGAUACAUGGGCAAGUUGAUUAUUACAACGUGUCAAGAUGCUAAUAUCCAAAUUUACCCUCUUGUAUUCGGCAUAGUUGACGGAGAAAAUGAUUUGGCAAUGCGUUGAUUUUUCACAAAGUUGAGGAAAGUAAUUGGGGAUGUCGAGAACCCUGCAUUCGUAACCAACCGAUGGCAGUCAAUAAUUAAUGGUAUCAUCGAAGUCUUCCCCGAAGCACAUCAUGGUUAUUGUAUGUAUCAUAUACAAGGAAAUCUGAAGAUCAAGUAUCGAGGUAAGGGCAUCGUUACGUUGUUUAGGAGAGCUGUAGAGGCUUACAAUUUUCAAGAGUUUGAAAAGUUUAUGAUUGAAAUCGAAAGUAAAUCCUAUGAUGCAUAGGAGUAUCUGACGGAGAUGGGGAUUGAACAUUGGGCACGAUCACAUUUUCUAGAACGUCUAUACAACAUGAUGAUAUCGAACAAUGAAGAGUCGCUCAAUACCUUAUUUAAGAAGGAUCGAGAGUUACCGAUUCUCGCAAUGCUUGAGAACAUUCGUGAUAAGCUGCAACAGUGGUUUCAUGAUCGUCGUGAGGAAUCACAGAGUUGCACAAGUGUGCUGACCCUAGCUCAGGAAGAUAAACUCUUCAAGACUCUAGAGGAGGCAAGGAAGGUAUAUGUAGAAUCACUAGAUUAGUUUCGCUUCUCCGCGAGAUGUGCACGUAAUUUCGGAUACACCAUCAACUUGAAUGAUAACACGUGCACGUGUAGACAGUUUCAGUUGUAGAGUUUUCCGUGUACACAUAUAGUAGCGAUGGCUAUUUAUAGAUGAAUUCCACCACACACCUUAUGCAGUGCUUAUUACACGACUGGUUCUUGGAGAGCAGCAUAUGCCGAAACCAUAUUUCCUAUACCGAAUGAAGUCGAGUGGGAAGUUCCUGAUCAUAUUCUCUCAUUGAAUAACUUGUUGCCACCAGCAGUCGGCCCAUGUACUCCUGGACAUACACAUACGUCUAGAAUACCAUCGACUGAAAAAAAAUUUCGACCUCGUAAAUGCGACAGGUGCGGUGCAACAGAACAUAUUAUAAAAUACAAGUCAGACCCCUCUGCAUGAUAACGUAACAGAUAUAUAAUUGAAGUUUAUGUAACAUUAUUUAUAACAUUGAUAUUAAUUAUUCACGCAUAUUCUUAAUGUUAAAUAUUUAUGUUAAUUAUUAGAUUUAGUUUUUUUAUUUUAAUAAUUCAUUAAUUAGUUCGUAAUAUUUGAAGUUAAUCAUUUUUUAAAACUCAGUGCAUUCUCC
Molecule: small RNA, 6897 nt
Filed under: Olea europaea subsp. europaea
Lineage: Eukaryota; Viridiplantae; Streptophyta; Magnoliopsida; Lamiales; Oleaceae
Source: RNAcentral